Molecule: long non-coding RNA, 561 nt
Organism: Xiphophorus maculatus (southern platyfish)
Lineage: Eukaryota; Metazoa; Chordata; Actinopteri; Cyprinodontiformes; Poeciliidae
Exons: 2
Source: RefSeq, a predicted model, not a curated record
CAGAGGCUGGUUUCCCGGCGGAGGUGUGCCUGUAGUUCUGCACACCUGACGAUGAUCUUCUCAUCAUCAGCUGGAGGUGUUUUCCUCUCGAGUCAUUCCCUGGAUCCUCCCUGAGAGACUUCCGUUGUGGCUUUUGGAUUAAGCCCUCCUCGUGACGCCGUGGGUGGUACCCACAGGUGCAUGGCCCGAGUUCCCAUUUCCUCCUCAUCUGUCGGAUCUCAAGAUUCUCCAGUUUCACUUCCUCCGGCUGGCUGUCGGACCCUUCCCUCCAUCAUCGUCGAAUCCAGAACUUACCUGUCCGCCCUCCACCGCCAUCUCCCAGCCUUUGGACCUCGCUCAGCUCUGCUGCCCAUCCGGAACCCGCAGCAUCCACCCUCUCAAUCCGAGACUAUAUCUACCAGAAAGUAAGAACUGAUUUUCCCUUCUCGCACAUCCUGUUUCCCAGCUGCCAUUGAACUCACCAUUUCCUCUUCGCUGUUCUGCAGUCCCCCCCAGUUUGGACCCUAAGCACGCCAACAUCUGUACUGGGUUAUUGUUUUACAAUAAAUAUUCUUCAACUGA